AAUCCUCCUGUUCCCUUUCCCAUCGGAUCUGAACACCGGUCUUGGUGGUCGUAAAAGGAGGAAAAGUAAUAGUGAAGCUGGCCUGAAUGUUGUAAUCUGGUAUAUGGCAUGUGGGCUAGUUUCAGACAGGU
This 131-nucleotide small nucleolar RNA is filed under the name Macaca mulatta (Rhesus monkey). Its description in RNAcentral is "H/ACA box 61 snoRNA". It matches the Rfam family "Small nucleolar RNA SNORA61". From Rfam's summary of the family: ACA61 is a member of the H/ACA class of snoRNA that guide the sites of modification of uridines to pseudouridines. Lineage: Eukaryota; Metazoa; Chordata; Mammalia; Primates; Cercopithecidae. The record is from RNAcentral.